AUAAAACCCAUUAGGAUUAGGUCACACAACCAAGCAUGAAAAUCACACUGUAUAUUUGUCCUAGAUUUAUGCGCAUUUCUACCUACCUUUGAGGGUAAUGAGACCAUUUUAACAUCAUCUCGAUCUUUCCGUUACACUUACUACUUCUUCCCCUCCCAUUACACCUCAUUAUUUUCUACUUUUCGCCCUCACUUUUCUCUUCUUUGCAUCAGUCUUUUUUCCUUUCCCCUCGUUUUUUCUCUCACUAUUCUUUCUUUCUCUUUUCUUCUCUCACUAUUUUCUUUCUUCUUAUCAUUUUUUAUGGCUUUUGCUUUUUUUUCAAAAUAGGAAAAUUAAGGAAAAACAAAGAAACAAAACGAUUAGAUCGAACCUAAAAAUAGGUUACCUACUUAUUAUGUUGUAUAUGAAUCAGUCUUGCGU
RNAcentral lists this long non-coding RNA (420 nucleotides) under Capsicum annuum. RNAcentral describes it as "long non-coding RNA (CANN_LNC016122)". The record is from RNAcentral. Lineage: Eukaryota; Viridiplantae; Streptophyta; Magnoliopsida; Solanales; Solanaceae.